This 493-nucleotide ribosomal RNA is filed under the name uncultured bacterium. RNAcentral describes it as "partial 16S ribosomal RNA". It matches the Rfam family "Bacterial small subunit ribosomal RNA", at positions 28 to 507 of the family's 1533-position model. The record is from RNAcentral.
GACGAACGCUGGCGGCGUGCUUAACACAUGCAAGUCGAACGGUGAAGCGCCUUCCUUUUUGGUGGGUGUGGAUGAGUGGCGAACGGGUGAGUAACACGUGAGUAACCUGCCCCCUUCUUCUGGAUAACCGCAUGAAAGUGUGGCUAAUACGGGAUAUUCUGGGUCUGUCGCAUGAUGGGUCUGGGAAAGAUAUUGUUUCGGUGGGGGAUGGGCUCGCGGCCUAUCAGCUUGUUGGUGGGGUGAUGGCCUACCAAGGCGGUGACGGGUAGCCGGCCUGAGAGGGUGGACGGUCACACUGGGACUGAGACACGGCCAGACUCCUACGGGAGGCAGCAGUGGGGAAUAGUGCACAAUGGGCGCAAGCCUGAUGCAGCGACGCCGCGUGAGGGAUGGAGGCCUUCGGGUUGUGAACCUCUUUCGCCAGUGAAGCAGGCCUGCCUCGUUUGUGGGUGGGUUGACGGUAGCUGGAUAAGAAGCGCCGGCUAACUACGUG